RNAcentral lists this ribosomal RNA (253 nucleotides) under uncultured bacterium. RNAcentral describes it as "partial 16S ribosomal RNA". It matches the Rfam family "Bacterial small subunit ribosomal RNA", at positions 524 to 776 of the family's 1533-position model. The record is from RNAcentral.
GACAGAGGGUGCAAACGUUGUUCGGAAUUACUGGGCGUAAAGCGCGUGUAGGCGGCCCUGCAAGUCGGGUGUGAAAUCCCACGGCUCAACCGUGGAAGUGCACUCGAAACUGCAGGGCUAGAGUCCUGGAGAGGAAGGUGGAAUGCUUGGUGUAGAGGUGAAAUUCGUAGAUAUCAAGCGGAACACCGGUGGCGAAGGCGGCCUUCUGGACAGUGACUGACGCUGAGGCACGAAAGCGUGGGGAGCAAACAGG